Molecule: ribosomal RNA, 763 nt
Filed under: uncultured marine haptophyte
Lineage: Eukaryota; Haptophyta
Description: bacterial SSU rRNA
Rfam family: Bacterial small subunit ribosomal RNA
Source: RNAcentral
AUCCGGAAUCAUUGGGCGUAAAGCGCCUGUAGGUUGUUUAAUAAGUCCGUUGUUAAAGACUAGGGCUUAACCCUAGGAAAGCGAUGGAAACUGAUAGACUUGAGUAUGGCAGGGGUAGAGGGAAUUUCUAGUGUAGCGGUGAAAUGCGUAGAUAUUAGAAAGAACACCGGUGGCGAAAGCGCUCUACUGGACCAUUACUGACACUGAGAGGCGAAAGCUAGGGGAGCGAAAGGGAUUAGAUACCCCUGUAGUCCUAGCCGUAAACGAUGGAUACUAGAUGUUGUGCAAUUUGGACAGUAUCGUAGCUAACGCGUUAAGUAUCCCGCCUGGGGAGUACGCUCGCAAGGGUGAAACUCAAAGGAAUUGACGGGGGCCCGCACAAGCGGUGGAGCAUGUGGUUUAAUUCGAUGCAACGCGAAGAACCUUACCAGGGCUUGACAUACUACAGAUCUUUUUGAGAAAGAAGAGUGCCUUCGGGAAUGUAGAUACAGGUGGUGCAUGGCUGUCGUCAGCUCGUGUCGUGAGAUGUUGGGUUAAGUCCCGCAACGAGCGCAACCCUCGUUUUUAGUUGCCAAUUUAUUGGGAUCUCUAGAAAGACUGCCGGUGACAAACCGGAGGAAGGUGAGGAUGACGUCAAGUCAGCAUGCCCCUUAUGUCCUGGGCCACACACGUGCUACAAUGGUAAAGACAAAGAGUCGCCAAUUCGCGAGAAUGAACUAAUCUCAUAAACUUUAUCUAAGUUCGGAUUGUAGGCUGCAACUCG